CGGAGGUGCAAGCGUUAAUCGGAAUUACUGGGCGUAAAGCGCACGCAGGCGGUUUGUUAAGUCAGAUGUGAAAUCCCCGGGCUCAACCUGGGAACUGCAUCUGAUACUGGCAAGCUUGAGUCUCGUAGAGGGGGUAGAAUUCCAGUGUAGCGGUGAAUAGCGUAGAGAUCUGGAGGAAUACCGGUGGCGAAGGCGGCCCCUCGGACGAAGACUGACGCUCAGGUGCGAAAGCGUGGGGAGCAAACAGGAUU
RNAcentral lists this ribosomal RNA (251 nucleotides) under uncultured bacterium. RNAcentral describes it as "partial 16S ribosomal RNA". It matches the Rfam family "Bacterial small subunit ribosomal RNA", at positions 527 to 779 of the family's 1533-position model. The record is from RNAcentral.